CUUCCCUUCCUCUCAUUUCCCAUCUUUUUCCCAUUCCCUACCCUUCCUCCUUCUUCUCCCCAGAGUUCUUUUCUUGUUUGUUAGGGUUAUAUAUCUCAGUAUUGGCCAAUACAUACCUUCCUAUAUUUCUUCACCAACACACAGCAUGAACAGUAACUAAGUGAAAGGAUGAUAUAGAAAUUUCAUGGUCACAGAAACACUUGGUCAUUGGCUCAAGAAGAACAGACUUACAGAGACAAAUGUUCAUUUCUUAUCAACCAACACUGAACCACACUAUAAGUACUGAGGAAGUGUCUUGGAUUUUUACAGGCGACUUGUGUAUUUCACAACCAUUUAAAAAAUGAUGGCAGAGACACUAGACAAAACUUGUUCAAGAACAAGUUCACCGCAAAUAUGUAUUCAUAUUUUAUCCAGACUGCUAUCAAAAAGUGCUUCACCAAGCAUAAAAAUGAAUUGCAUUUACCAACAAGAUUUUAUAGCAGUAGUACCUCAAAAAUUAACUUCUCCUGUCAAACAUCAGCACACUAACUACGGGAACACUUUUCGUCUUUUAAUAAAUUACAGGGUUCAUUACACUCAAGAGUACAGAUCAAUUAUUAAAUCACGAGUGACGAUGUGAGUCAUCAGAAAUGCUAUGAGCUCUCACUCUAACAUGUCAAAGAAGCCAUAAAACUCAUGUCAUUUGUAUCAGACACCACAUGUUGCAAAGGAGCUUGCAGAAUACAAAAUACAUAACAUACGUGUACACUCAAUUAUUAGGAAUUAAUUUGUGUGCAAAAUGAGUAACUGUAAAAAUAUUCCUAUUUAUUGAUCGAUAUUUUUUCCACUAUUAAGCUGACUACCUCCCUACAGAUUUCAGUGUUAAAUGUAUCAGAAGUUAAUAAAGCUUAUUGCAGUUUUUACAGUAUUAUCAGAAUACGAAGACCCACAGUCAUCAACCAGGCCACUGCCACAGUGGCACAAAAAAAUGUCCCUGCCCAGCAAGGUCCUGCUCUGUUUACUUAUAAUUCAAGUAAGUAGGAAACAGGAGUAUAAAAAGAGUGGUAUAUAAUACAGUUAUUCUGUCAUUCUUUUUCACUCUUUUGCUAAGGUAGUAAUAAUUCCUGUAAUACAUUGAUAUACUUCAUUGCACUACCUUUGCUGACUUCAAGUUUGAAAGCACUGUAAAUGGUUUGCAGGAUUACACCAAUAAUCAUACAUUACAAUAGGCUCUUUCUUUAGUUAGAAGACUGAAAUAACAAUAAUCUUUCCAAGGAGCCAUUCUUGGGAGAUUUCCAGCCUGACGUCGCAGACAACUAUAGUUCAUGCAGCUCAAAAAAGUCUUCAAGCCUUUUGAAGCCUAACUAAAACAUCAGAACCUUUUGGAUGUUCCAGUAUCCUGUAACUACAGCACAUGUACUAAAACUUAAUAACACAAAAAGUACUUGAAUUUAUUUGAUGCACAUGGGAUCUUCUUGAGACCCAUGCAAUACAGAUCAUAGGUUCUUGUGUAAAGAUAAUGCAAUAAACAGCUCAACAAUUCUUUAGAGUGGCUUUUGUGCUACUUGCAAGGAAUCUGUUCUUCUGUGUCCCUCUUGUACUAAAGUAAGAAAAUAAAAAAAGUUAUUUUCUUUAUCAUCUUCACGGUAUUAGAAAAUUCUCUUUAAAGGGCCAUGUGAAGGAAGAAGCUGCAAUGUAUAGCCUGAGUUUAUUAAGAGAUUAGACUCUGAUGGAUGUCACCAUGAAAAAAUGUAAAGUAAAAGCAUCACAAAUGGUUUGCACUGACUUUAGGAUAUCCAUUUAUUUUUAUUUUCACUUGAGAUUCCAUCUAAGAAAGUAGGACUUAUGUGAAUAUAUGACACACACAGGCUCAUACAAAAGCAAAUCUUGAAGCUUUUUUAAUACAGUGGUGGAUAGUAGCAUUGUUCAGCAAAGAUAUUUUCUGUCCCUUAAACAACCCUCCAGCAUACAAAUCAUUACUCAAAAACAUAAAAAAUAAAAAUAAAAAAAUAAAAAAGUUUCACUGCUACUCUGAGACACUAAUGGUAUUUGUGUAAUUAUUUAUAUCCUGCACAUCACCUGCAGUAUCAAAGCAUUACUUAUCUAGAAUUGCCUCCUAAAUUAAGGGUAAUGUUAUAUAUCUAUUGUCACAGCAUAAUUCUGACUGGGGACAAAAAAGCAGAGCAAAGCUGUAGAUUGAUGGAUCUAUAGUCUUGAACAUACACAACACAUAUUGGAGAGAUGGCUAAGAAACACCAUGUGCUCUCCUGAGCACUCAGCAUGCAAUGAAAGAUGCUUUUGAUGGAGUUUUAGCCUUAAACCACAUCAGCAAGACUAUUUUAUACAUUUAAGUGUAGCCAGGGCAAACAGGAUGUGAAGUCAGCCUUCAACAUCAUAGACAUAUCAAAGAAAGAGGCAGCACUCAAAAGCUUCUUUGAAUGAGGCAACUCAUUUUACAGUUAGUUAAUCUAAAUUAUUAUGAUCAGUUAGCUGAGACCCAGUUUUUUUUCCAUAGAGUACAAAGUGCAUCACAUUUCAACUAUACAAAUGUAUAUACAUUUGUGUAAGAAAAAUGUAAGAGUUUCGUGCAUAUAUCUUUCCUAAACCUAGCUACAAGCAGGUAGGUAUUCCCAGAAAGAUCAUAAAGCUUGGGAUAUACCUUAAGAAAUGCCUUUUUCACAUUUCCCAUCACUUUCCAGAUAUAAAACAAAACAAAACAAACAAAUAACAAACAACAUCUGCCGUAAAAAACAAAUUGGGUUGGGGAAAGGAUUCUUUAAAAUAUGCUCUUUUUUUAACGUGCAGUGAUUAUGUAGUAGGAAAAUUUGUCAUGAAUGUUCUCAUCUAGCAAAGAAAAGUCUCUUUCACUUGGUUUCAGCAUUCCUCUCCUCACAAAUACAGUGACAUUCUAAAUCAAGUAAUGCUUAACGACUUCUUCUCAAACUGACUAAAACUAAUUAUGCAUUCAUAAUUUUCAGAAAGAAAAUCAGUGUUUUCAGUGAAAUUUCUGUUUUGAUAGUUAAAAAUCGUGUCAUCUCACCAUACUUUCUCCAACAAUAAAAUUUUCCUUGAGCAGGUGUCAACAUCAUCUCAAUAUUUUAGCAACAGUUAAGAUACACUUUUCAGUGGAUAAGGGAUCAGAAAAGUAAUCAAAUACAAAAAAGUAAGGCUAUGCACUAUGCAUAAACUUUUGAGACAUGCAGUGCUGUACAGAGUAUAUCAGUUCACAGUUCAAGACGAAAACUUAAAUAAAUAGCAACCGAACAAGUAGUUUGCUGUACAUAAGAGAGUUCUUUGUGCUAUUUUGUGGGGAAAAAGAAAAAAAACAACCUCUUUUUUUUUGAGCCCGAGACAGCCAGUCAAGUAACACAGACUUUCAAGUAACAUCUAACCAGGAUACCUGACCCAGUAACAUUGCAUGAAAAAAAAAACUCCCUGUGGCCAACACCUAGAAAGCAAAAAUACAUGAGGAUUACAUCAAAAGGAACUGACCUAUUUUUUUUCCCCUCUACAUAAGCUUAUUCCCUUUAGAAAUUAGCAAAAUACUACCCUAUUCAAAAUUAGUAAUCAGCAGCUGCAAGUCAUCAAGAUUUCUCCAGUGACUCCCCCUUAGAUGGCUUAUUCUUUGAAGGGAAAUCCAAUUUCAAUCACACAUUAAACAGUUCCUCGUGACCCCAUUGGGCAUUUUUGAAGAGCUUCCCCUGCUAUCAUCAUGAGAGGUGUGGACUUCAAAAUCCUGAUGGAAUUAAACCCAAAUUCUGAAUCGCUUCUUCAAGCAGUUGUCUAUAUACAACGAAGGAUUAACAUUGUUUUACCACAUCUCUGUGGCUGGGAGGCCGGUGUGCCUCAUCCACACAGCACUCACAGUCUCGCCAGCACACCACAGCCACCCAUACACAGCUGCCUCAGUGGAAAUAUUUGAGCAGGCAUGGGCAAGCAUGAGGCAAGGACUCAGAUGGUACGCCGAGCUUGGAGGGCGAUGGGCAGCCUGCUGGGGAUUGCUAGGCAACCCAGGCCUGCUACUGACCCCAGCACCUUCGCCACAGUUGGGGCUUUUGAGGGAGAAAGGACCUUUCAGCAGUCUGUGCAGAGCCCUGUAAAUGUAAAGCCCUGUUACUGUAAAUAAGGGAUAAUAACAGGGUCACCCUAUGUUCAGAACACUCAGUGGAUAGCUAGAUGGGUUUAUUUAUUUAUUUAUUUGGUUUUAUUUUAAUGGAGCUGACAAAAUCUGGCAACAAUGCACUGUGUAAAAAGUGACAUUUUGACUCUAAGGGAGGAAUUAUUUGCAAUUUGUUUUGAACAGAAGCUUAGUUCAUGUCAGAUGUGAACCUCCAGACAAUCAUUAGUUUAAACUGCCUGCUAUGUGUUUAAAAAUUUCAGUCAAUUUAUAACUGAUCUGAAUUGCAAAUGAGAUGGUAAUAAGCCAUUAGGGAACAACAUAUCUCUUUUUCACACUCACAGCCCUCUGCUUUAAGGGGCUUCAACUGCUCUGAAAUAUGAAAAUACCAUUUUAGUCAUGCGCAGUAUCAACAAACAGGGAUAAUUUUGAGAUGCAGAAAUGGAGUUUCUUGGAGAAUCACUCGGAGAAGACUGGCAGCUGACACAGGAGCAAAGUAACAUGGAGCCUGAGCUGUGAAUAGCAGGCAGUAGUCAGCUGCCCGAAGAACAGAUAGCCUGAUUUGCUGAUGGCACUGUAGCGCCUGGUAUCUGACAAGCACUUGGUUACUUUGGUUGCUGACUACGGGAUCUGAGCUAUUUCUUAUCCUCUGUGAAACCACUUUUGUGAGUGAACAUAGGCUUUGCACUACCAAAGUAUCUCUGUAUAGUUACUCACAUUUCCUCAAUACUAACUACUGAUUCUCCUGUGUUCAAAGGAGUAACAAGAUGAAUUUUUUUGUCAUCCUUGUUCACAUGUAGGCAUCCUUUAAAUACAAUUAUAACCUGCACAACUAAACAUAGAGCAAAUGUAUUAUAGAUGAUAGCAUUAAGCAUCAUGGCUCUUGUCUCGAAUAUUUCUUCCCACUGAUUGUUAUCAUGAUUUAUAUCAUCAUAAAUCGCCUACUGAUUUAUCAUGUCUCAUGGAUGAAAAAACUAUCUUUACAUAUCCCUACUGCUACUUUAUAGCUAUAUAGCUACUCUUAAGUACCUGCUAUUAUUUGUUGAGGUUGAUUGUUUUUUUUUUUUCACUGACUAAUAAAAUUAGUAUCCCUUAUAAAAUUAAUUUAUUUCAUUGUUUCUCAAGUCUGCAACUGAGUCCAACUGUAUGCCUGACUGUACUAGAUGACAAGAAAUAUAAUCUCUACAUUCAAAUAGAUUCACAUACAGCUAUGAAGGAGGGAGAAAUUCAGAUUUCUAAUGUGCAUCUGUGGAAGUGAGCACUGAGGACCACAGUACCAGUGUCAUUGAUAUUCCCACACCAUGGGAUACUCUUGCGACCUUAGAGGUGAGUUAAUGAGGCUCUGGAACACAUUCCUCCCUGAAGCUAUAUGUAUAAAUACAGCUCCUGGAGGUUUUGUUUCUAGACAGUCUCUUUGUUGAGGGGAGACUAGCCCAGAGAUGCCUACAGCAGCCUGUAUAACUAUAACCACUUUGCAGUCUUCCCCACAGGAGGUCCAACAAACCAAAAUGCUGUUGUGUUAGCAUAUAUGCUGGACUGGAUUUCUGCAGAACACUCCUUCCUUCUUAAGAGAGCAUUAAAGUGGAUAUUCCAUCAAUUCUUUCACGGCACAUCCACUCAAUCCCCUCUGCUUUUCAGAGAUAGCACCAUAAAAUUGCUGAUUGCAGGUGAACGUAAGUAUUACACCACAUCUCAGCUUUUCUAGGGAGUUCACAACAGCUCCUGUACAGCUGGCAAUAUGCUAGAAAGAGGAUUGCUUGCUCAGUACUGUUAUUGACCCGCUGUACAGCAGAAAGGAAAUAGGCAAGGUCAAAUAGAUCAAAGGUAGAAUGUUGAGGCAGAAACUUGCCUUGCUUAAGAAAGGUAGAAGUAACAUGGAGAAAACGACUUGGGUAAAACCGUGGGAUUAGAUGACUGUUACAGGAACUUGAUCAACUACUAGGACUGAAAAAUAAAUCCUCUAUCUGUAUCUCUCUGCCUCAAAUAGCACAAAUCUAAAACAAGUAUAACAAGGACUGAUUCUACUGAGAUGGCUUUCAUCAAACCCUAAACUAUGGUGUACUUAUGCAUAUAAAAACAUAAAUGCAUAUAUGAUUCCAUUUUAACACUAACAAGAAUUUCUACUGUAUAAAUAUUAAAACCAAAGGGAAAAUAUAUUUUCAAUAUUCUAAUUUUCGUAUUAAAAAUCUGUAGUAACAUGAAUAAACCCCAGACAGGGAAAAUCUGAGUUUUUGUUUUGUAUUACUUCAAGAACAGAUGCACUUAAAACUACUCAAGCAUAGAAACUUCACAGAUAAUUCUCAACCACUGAAAGUAAAGAAUUCCAAAUUCCCAAUUUCCCGGGAGCACAACAGAUCAUUCAUCUCCGUCAAAUCCCCAUGAAGUAAAUUAAUCCUUUCCAAUUAUCCUUGCAAUGCAUAUUUGGGAUAACAGUUCUCUACUUUGAAAUGUACAUGACGUGUGGAGCUUCCACUCAUUUUAGUGAGAUAAAAAGCACAUUUCCAAUUUGGAUCUUUGAAAAAGUCUGACAUUCAGUAUUUAUUAUAAUAACAGAGAUUAAGAAUAGUCCUACUGAACACUAAUAUUUAAAGACAUAUUUCUUUCAGAAGUGAUAUUACAACACAGGACAAUGAACACACUCCCAGAAGUAUAUACUUCAAGCAAAAAAUAUUUCCUGUGAUAAAUACAGAAUUAAAAAAGGUAUUACAUGUUAAUUCAGAUGGAAAUGGAGUAGUUACAUACUUUCAAAUCUAAAUUCCAGCUAUUUACAAUUUCCCCAGCAAUUGCACAACAAUAAGAAAUCUGCAUUCAAGGUUUUCUGUCAUCACAUUGGGUUUGAGAAAAACAGCACACACACACAAAAAAAAGAUCAGAAUCCAUCAAAAUUUUGUAAGAGAAAAAAUGUGGAAAUCCUUUGCUCUCUGCUUCUUUCUCAGUGACAUUAGGCUAUUUAGUAUUUUUGUCUCCAUAGAUCGGGUAUUCAAUAUUAAUUCCCUCAAUUAUUCUGGUAAAGUCAGUACAUGCCACAGUGCAUGCUUUAAAUGUAUUUUAUUUUCCAUACAUCAUUUUCUUCAUCAGCAUAAAUGGGUUCUUGCAUGUACAACCUACCCCUUGCAUGUACACCUGAACAAUCUGGCAGUUCAAAUGCGUAUAUUAUGUAGGGAAAGUGUUGAAAUUUACAUAUCUGUUCCAUUUAAAUUUGAAAACUGACUUCCAUAGGGAAGGUUCUUAUCCUUAUUUGACAUGUGGCACAGGCCAAAGAUCUGCAGUUGUAUCUACUGAAAGGAAACCAACACAAACAGUGAGAGAGAAAGAUAUGAGCAAUUUGGGUGAUGUGAUUUCUUGGACUUUCAGUUGUGUGUGUGUGAUUGUCAUAUACUUUUGUGUCAGAUAUUUGGCUAUCUAAAUAUUUCACUUUUCACAUGACAUAGUCCUAAGAGCAUGUAGUAUAAAUCACUUAUGAGAAGAUAGUCAUGUGAAUGGCAUCUCACAGACAAACAAUAAUUUCUAAGUUCUAAUUGAACAUAAUCCAAACACAGAAUAAUAUUUUGUUUGGUUAAAGAAGAAUUCUACAGGAAUCAAAGGCUUAGCCCUACAUUCCUUCCUUAUGUCAAUAUUCCUAUUGAAUUCAAUGGGGUGCUUUAUGUAUAUUGCUUGCUCUGAAAGUAAUUCCUCCUACUUAUUUCCAUGGAAACUACAAUGGAUACAAAGAGCACAAUAACACUAUUUGACAGAGCAGAUUCUCGGCUACAAAACACUAUUUUUCAACAUAAUCACCACCAUGAGAUAUGCAUUUUUACUGUGAUGAACAAGAAAUUACAUGCCAUAGUCAUAAAAAUCUGCACCAGCAUAGGUGACCCACCGUUUCUGUUGCUACUGUUGAAAUGCACUACCCACCACUGUGUUCAUACUCACUUCUUAGUCUCCCUAAACGUUCAGUAAGCACUGAUGAAUGUCAAUAGGUGAAAUUUUUCCACAUGGAGUAACGUAAAGCACACCUUUUCUUUAAACAUUAUUUCUAUAUGUCGUAGUUUUCAUGGAAACAAAUAGGAGGCAUUACUUCUAGAGCAAACUAUGUACACGCUUCACUAUGGCUGGAUUUACUACCUACAUGAGGUUCAACACUGAGGUUGUUCUCCAUAUUGAUUAUCAAAUGAAACUGUAACCUAGGAUUAUCCACCUUUGUCUUGUGCAAAUUCUUUUGGCUAGUGGCAAUGAUAUUAGCAUGCCAUAGGAGAGCAGUCUAUAAAGUUGCCAGGAGGUACAGAAGAAAGAUAUUGCAGAGAUAACAUCUCAGGGAAAAAUAGGAGAAGAUAGGUCUUGGUGAUAUGCAAAUCAAGCCUUGAGAAACAGUCCACAGUGAAGGUCCCUGCAGGGAUCUUUUAAAUAGAAAUGAUUUUUAGUCAAUAUAGUCAGAGUUCAAAAUAAAAGAAUUUGGCCCUUGACUCUAAAUCUGGCUGAUUCAUUAUUAAUAGUUAUUUAAGAAGUUUUCUAACCAGUAGUUCAAAGUACAAACCUAUUGUAGAGAUAACAUCGUACAAUAAUAAUAUACAUUCAGUAUUUUAAAAAGGUUUUUCUAAACACAGAACAUGUAAAGAAAAGCACUAUAUACUGAGAUUCAUCCAAAUUCUUGCAAAGAGCAGAAUAUUCUUAUCCUAACAUGCCCAGAGGGAAAACAGAAAUUUUGGAGCAGAAGUCCAACCUCUUACAGCAUUGCUGUUCAGUUUUCAGUGAAUCCAACUGAAGCCCAUCCAAGUUGUCUUGUUGCUGAAUCCAUGCUAUGUUUGCUAUGUUAGACUGAACUUGUCAUCCUUCCCUUAGAGUUGGAGCUGAAUGUGGAGUUGCAAACAAGAGGUAAUACAUAAACAAACUUGAACUUGAGCAUAUGAAGCUUCGUACUAACAUGCAGAAGAACUUCUUUAUGGCAAAGGUGACACAGCAUUGGAACAGAGAUGUCCAGGGAGGUUGUGGAGGCUCCUUCUAUGGAGACAUUAGAGACCUGCCUGGAGAGCUACCUGUGAGACAUAUUGUAGGGUAUCUGCUUUAGCGGAGGCGUUGGACUUGAUGAUUGCUUGAGGGCCCUUCCAACACCAGUGAAUGUGAUUUUCUGUGAUUGUGUGAUUGAACAAGGCUGCAUAAGGUUUCCACAAAAGAAAGACAGAAAUGUCAAGGCAGUUGCUUCCUACAGCCACCACCCGGAGGCAGGAAAGUGGGAAUCUGCAUGCAGUGUCUCCUACAUGCAUAUCUACAAAAUUCAAUCCAGCCCUCCAUUUUCCAUUUUCUCAAAAUGUUUUUGUAUUCAUUCAAAGAGUGAGACAUGACAGAAUGCAUGUGGAUAUGAGAUAACAUGUGCCUCAGGGCUAGUAUCAGGAGGAAGGUGAAGGCAACAACCCCAGACAUGAAGGUGAAGACAGUGAUGCAAAAUGCAGUUCAUCUCACAGCUGCACAAACCUGGAAGCCUCAUUACUGUGAAUAUAAGUCUUGAAUGAUCAAAAAAAAAAAAAAAAAAAAAAAGGAAAAACAUAAUUUCCCUGAUGACUGUGUAAUGUUCUAUCUUCACUGAUACAAAACAUAACACAAAAGAAGUAAACAAAAAAAUAUGAAAGAAAAUGCCUUUUAAGAUAUGUGGAUCAUUAAAUUUGCAGAAAGGAACAGCUGCAUUCCUGGAUUGCAGUGUUAUCAAAUGACUGCUCAGAGGCAGAUUGCAGUGUGAAGCCAUAAUGCCUCAGUGUAUGACAUUGUGGUCACAGAUGUCCUUUGCUUCAUACACCUUGCUGAAGUGGUUUGCAGGUGGGAUUUGCUUUCAGCUGAUUUUUAUUUUCAUUCUCUUUCAUUAAUGCAUAAUACUAAACUGACUUCUUGUUUGCCUAAUGUGUCAAAGCUUCCGACUUCUCACAUGCGCACAGCUUUCCCCUCAAUGUCAUGACAGUAUUUAAGAAACAUGGGAUUGACCCAGAAAAAAGAGCUUUUGGGAAUAAACCAGAUAUUUGUGUUUUUGAAAGUACUUCUGCUUCAGAGUGAAGUAUCAAGUCAUACUGGUACUAAUUCCUGUGGUGGAUUUUAACACUUCAUUGAUCUAUAGACAGAUCAGUCCUAACAGGUUGGUAUUUACAAGGUUUUGUUUUGUUGUGUUUUGUUUUUAUUUAAUUGUUUAGCAAAAUACAAGCUUGUACAAAAGAUGAAAAUCCAUUUCUACACAGAUUGAGAGCUCAACAGCAUUGGCCAUUCUGUAGCUAGGCUAUGUCUGAUAAAUAGAAUAUACCUAAGAAAAGGGGAAUGUGAUUUGAAAUAUUAAGGAGUGUUUCCAGGGUAAUAGUUCUAAGGACAAGUGGAGAAAGAUUAUAUCUGGCUAUCUAUCUAUGUGUCUCAUAGGACUGCAGUAUAUACUACUUCUAGAUACCAGGGCUAAUCUCAUCUUUAAUAUCCUACUUUCAAGAAGAUUAAGAUUCAUCCACACAGCAGUACUACAAAGGGUGACCAGUCUUCCAAAUUUGAGGAGGUAGAUGUUGAUACUGCAAAGCAACGUGGAGCAGCUGGAGCUGGUGUAAGCAGUGCCAAGAGGAAUGGACUUUAGCAGGCAAUCAGGCAAGCAGAAAGUAGCAGCAGGCCACAUCAUGUCCUGUUGAAAAUGAUGGAGAAAUGUCAGGAAUUCAGGGGUAGUUAAUGGAGCAUGCAUUACCAGAAGACUGUGGGGAUGGAUAUGCAUACUAAGGGUUAAUCUUGAACACAGCUGUAUACUGUGCUGGCAUAUAAGCUUAACAUACUUAAUCAGGUGAUUUAUGCAAUGUAGAAUAGAGAAGCAUAAAUGUCUAUCUUCUGGUACCUAAGUCCAUUAACAUUAGAAUUAGACGUCAUCUAUAUCCAGUAUGCAUUAUUUUACUUAUGAUUAUAUAUUUAUUCCUUUAUCAGAUUUUUGUUUAAAUGAGCUUCAAUGAACACAAAAGACCUGAAUAAUUUGAUGUGCAAUAAAUGUGUCCUCAUAGCAUUAUUAUUCCUUAAAUAGAGGAAAGAAUAUGUCUAGAUUAGCUCAAAUGACAAUUCCCUAUCUUACAUUAGGUUCCCUAAGUUACAGUGGAAAACAUUCAUGCAAUCCCAAAUGAAAGAGUUCAAAAAAAUGACAGAAGGUAUAGUUAAUUAGUUGACUGGAUUAUUCAAUCCUUGCAUAAAGGCAUGAGCUCAGCUUUAGUGAAGAAGUAAGAACUGACAGAAGUUAAUGCCUUCUUUAAACAUCUUAGACUCUUGUCAAAAUUAUAAUUGCAAUGAUUUCCUGUAUUUGGUAUAACAGAGGGCUGAUCUUUUUUUACCUGCUAGGAGUUUUCCUGUUAGAAAAGAGAACUGAAUAAAUCGAAUAAAACACAAGGGUAUCACAUGCAUUAGUACCUAUUGUGUUACGUACUGUACGAAACACCUUGAAAAAACAAUGUUCCUUAUGUUAAAGGCACUUUUAGUAUGAGAGGGACAAAAAUGACAAACAGAAAAAGACAGACAGAUGGAAGAACAAGAAAACAGUGACACAGUUGGUCAUCCUGACAGGCAGCAUUGCCAGUACAUCCCUAGCAUGACAGCUGUCAAAAUUUUGUUUAAAUUCACAGUAAAAGAAAGUUUUACAGAGGCAGCUAAGGAAAAUCUCCUACAAAAACAGUGAAGUGAAGCAAGCUAAAAAUCAAAAAUAUGUAAGACAAAUCAGAAUGAGGGUUUUUUUUUUUCCCCCUCUGAUACACUUUCCUUCUGAGGGAAUAAAAAAUAAAAAAGAAAAUGGUUUAUUUUCCAGAUGUCUAGAUCCAUACCCCAGUAUGAUAAACUUUCUUUUCAUUCACUGAUGUUCUGCAUUCAUUGUCCUAAUCCAACUGAAGAAACCCUUAUCUUUACUUGAAAUUCCCCUAUCUCCUAGAAAAUUGAUGUGUAAUGCUUAUAAGAAAAAAGCUGCUUUUCCUCUGAACACGUUUCCCACCUUCAGACACACCAGACAUUUUCAGAGUGUCAAGUAUGUAGGAAACAUGGCUUUGUUCACAUGAUAGGAAGGCCCUACAGAGUGAUUUGGACAGGCUGAAUAACUGGGCUGGGACCAAUGGGAUGAAGUUCAAGAAGACCAAGUGCCAAGUUCUGCCUUUGGCCACAGCAAUCUCAGGCAACACUGCAGGCUUGGGGCAGAAUGGCUAGAAGACUCUGUAGAAGAAAUGGAUCUGGAAGAUUUGGUUGACACUUGGCUGAACAUGAUCCAGCAGUAUGCCCAGGUGGCAAAGAAGACCAACGGCAUUCUGGCUUGUAUCAGAAAUGGUGUUGCCAUCAGGUGCAGGGAAGAAAUCAUCCCCCUGUACUCAGUCCUGGUGAGGCUGCACCUUAAGUACUGUGUUCAGUUUUGGGCCUGUCACUACAAGAAAGAGAUUGAGGCCCAGGAGCGUGUCAAGAGAAGGGCAAGAAAGCUGGUGAGGGUUUUCUAGCACAGGUCUUAUGAGAAGUGCCUGAGGGAACUGUGAUUGUUUAGUCUGGAGAAGAGGAGGCUCAGGGAAGACCUUAUCACUCUCUAUAGCUACCUGAAGGAAGGUUGUGGUGAGGUGGGCGUCAGCCUCUUCUCCCAUGUAACUAGCUAUAGGACUAGAGGGAAUGGCCUCAAGUUGCGCCAGGGGAGAUUCAGAUUGGAUGUUAGGAACUAUUUAUCUGAGAGAGUGGUCAGGCACUGGAAUGGGCUGCUCAGGGAGGUAGUGAAGUCAUCAUCCCUGGAGGUGUUCAAGAAAUGUUUAGGUUUUGUACUGAGGGACAUGGUUAGUGGGAUAUAUUGAUGAUUGGUAGACAGUUGGACUUUUCCAACCUUCGUGAUUCUAUGAUUCUAUGAUCAACAACUGCACUGUGAAAAUACCCAUGAAGAUGUAGAAAUAGAUUCCUACCCAUAGUCAGUUCUGCAUGCGGAAAAGGGAUUAAAAGCAUAAGCCUAAGAAUUCCAGGAAAUCAAAAGAUAUUUGGGGAAGCAAAAAUAAAUGAUCUUCUGUGAAAUUCAGAUGGGAUGAGAUUGUGUUAUUUGUGACUAUCCUAGGAGAGUGCUCUGAAAAUAAUGCCUCCUACUUUAUGCUGGCUCAUGACAUCAGAGGUGGAUGUUGGUGAUAUGGCAGUAGAGACUGAAACUUCCUACCAAUAUUUUGUUAUAUUUCGUUGAUGUGAGAGCAGCAGAGGGGCAGUCUGUCAGAAUACCAUCUGACAUGGAAGUGCAUGUGAAGCAAAGGUGUGUCACUGAAUUCCUUCAUGUGGAAAAAAAUGAUACCCACUGGCAUUCAUUGAUGCCUGAGAAUUUGGCUCUAUCAAAUAGUGUGAUUGUGCUCUCUUCCAUAGAAAUAAAUAGGAGGCAUUACUUUCAGAGUGACUUACAUACAAGCACUACCCCUUUCAGUACCCAUUCUGAAAAUCAACCUAAGCAGCAAAAAUCAAAUCUGACCUUGGAAAUGGUGGUGUUAUGACCCAGAAGCUGGUCAAAAAUCCUGUCAGUAAUCUUUCUAGCUAUAUACAGAACAAUACAGUUUUUCUAAAGCUCAUGAAGACUUCAUGACAUAGUGCGCCAUUUAUUAAGCCAGAACUAAAUGAUACAGACUUUCCAAAACAAAGCACCAUCAUUUAGCUCCUCAUUUUAUCUCCAGAACUCAUUGUGACAAUAUUUUCAGCCAGAUCAUAAUCACUUAAAAUGCACAUUUAAAUAGUAUACUACUCUGUAUGCAAAGAUUGAAUAUAAAGAAAAUGUAAAACAAGGUUUUCAAAAUGAAGAAAUACUGAAAUUAGCAUUGCUGUUUGUUUCCCUUUACUGUCCACACCCUCCUGACUAUUCUGUCUGUAAAACUGAAUGAAGAACAGAAAAUCAAAUAUGUUGAGAGUCUACUAUUGAUCUAAAUGAGUAACAGGAUGUCCUAUAGAGUAACAGAAACACUGGGGGAGGGAGACAGGAAAUAAAUUAAGAAAGGAAGAAUUAUUCAUAAUGGAAGCUACUCCUGUCUCCCAAGGAUUCAGCAUCUUAGAUUUAUGUUUGUUCUCUCACACUGAUCUGCCUCGUUUCCAUUGUUUGUUUCUGCUAUUACCCAGCAGGCUUUUGCAAAAAGGUGCAGAUUGUACCAGCUUUAAAAAAAUACUGUAUCAGUGUCAGCUGUGCUAUUUCAAGUAAUCCAGGUUGAAGAUCUGCAAAUGACUUCUAAAUAAAAAACAAAACAAAACAAAAUAAAAUAAAAUAAAAUAAAAUAAAAUAAACUAUGAAAUAGAUUUUGGCAAGCAUGAAUACAUUUGGUAUUAUUAAAGAGUACCAUUCCCCUUUUCACAUCACGGCAGCACAAGAACAGAAUUUGUAGCUGCUGCUCCAAAGAUUUACAGGAUAAAAACUGGCUCAUUGCAUCUGAUGAUGCUUCUCACUUGCAAAAGAGCAGCAGCUUGACAUAUCACAAGUCCCCGUGCUGCAACAAGCACAGGCAAAUACUGACAUCUUGUCAGUAACUCCUGACCUUGAGUUAUGCAGCACUAUGCUGGCAUAACUACUCAAGCACAUAAGCGACUAAGUCAUUUUCUAAAACUCUCACAGAUAAGAAUCAGAUACUGUGCUUGUCUGAUGGAGACAGUUGAACAUACUAUAUUAAUACUAGUAUCUUCUAAAACAUAUCCUGAGCCUUAGAAGUCCACUGUUUGAAUAAAUUCAUCAACAAGAUUUCAGUGUUUUCCUGCAUGGUUGUACUCUUCUGUAUCUGUAAUGUAUCAGUUGUCCAAGGUAGUCCACCAAGCUGUCAUUCCCCUCCACCUAGAACCAGAGUCAGUCUUGUACACUGAGUUGCGCCAACAAAACAUUCUUAGACAAGAGCACUGCUGACGCUUUACUUGCUGAUAUCAUGCUGAUGAGUUCAAACGGUUCCAGCCACUCUGCAAUAUUAUUUGCCAUCUCCUAAGAUAACAUCCAUCAGUGGACACACUAUAAGAACGGUGCAAACCUUUUACUAAUCAAUGUUUUGAUAAAUGACCGCUCAAUUUGUUUACUAAAAAGCAUUUAACUUAAAUAAGAUCUCAUCAUUCUGCUUUUGCUCUCCACUGGUAAGACAUUCCCUUGUUAAAAAGAAUUCUUUCAGCUUUGGUAUCCUUAAGAUUAUUGAUAAUAGAUGGUCUUUUCCUCUUUAUUCUUUAGGCCCUGUCCUACAGAUACCAAUCUAUUCCCAAAACUGCAGACAACAUUUCCCAUCCAGGAAUUAAGCUUUAGAUUUGAGAAUGUCAGCUACACAAGAAAGGCAUCUCAAACUAUUACUAAUACUCCAUUUCAGUCUACCAUGAGAAAAAUCAGAAAAAUGAAGAUAUUUAUGAUAAGCAAUCACUGAUAGAAAUCAUAAACAAAUAAGUCUCUGUCUUUGAAUACAUCCCACUUCUCACUUGUACAGUAAGGGCAAAACAAGUAUUUUCCUUCUAUUCAGUGUUGCAAUGCCCUAGGCUUUACACAAAGUGCAGUUGUUACAAGGAAGAUACUAUUUCUUGCAAGGAAAGUACUAAUACUGCCCUAAAGAAUUGCACUCUAAACUGUGCACUGGCAACACAAUACAAAUACAUAUUUGAGCAGGCAAAUUUGAGUUGACAGGUGAAAGCCUAUGUUUAAGGGACAAGCAAUGCUUUACGCAGGAGCUGAAGUACUGGUUCACUCUAAAGAAAAAACUGGUUUCUAACAAUGACCUGCGGGAGAAGUACAUGCAAAGAUCAUUAGAGAUGAGCAGUUCUCUUAUUCCCAGGUCCUCUGUAUUACUGACAGGCAGCUUCAAGAAGUAAGUAAAUUUAUUUCACAAAACUCAAAAAAAAAAAAAUCAUAAUUUAACUUAAAUUUAUUAACAUUAGAAAAGCUCAAUUUUAUCUUCAAAAGUCACGACCAUUGAUUUCUGAAAGAAUUUAUUUUGGUAUAUCUCUGCCAAGGGACUUAUUUUCUGUGACAUAAAUAGUUGUUCUGUGAAGUCAGGCUGUCUCAUAGCAUAUAUUCCUCUCAGCGGAAUCAACACACUACUCAGAACUCUUCACAGAACACAGUUGCUUUAGGAAGUAACGUCACUCCAUUCAAGAGAAAAGAUGAUACAAGGCAGAAGGACAUAAUGCAAGGGCCUCAGACUUUUCAAAGGAAAGCUCUAGGGUGACCGUAUGUUGCUUCUGAGCAACCAGUAAGCUCUGUCAGUCUAACCAAUGGUGCUUGUUCUAUGCAUGGAAAAGAGUAAGGGGAAAUGAAAUUAUCCAUGUUUGGAAUGAAUACUGAACGUAAAAUUUUGUAAUGGAGGUGCAGGAGUAAGAAAAGAAAAUUUAAUACCUUUUGUAAAUCAAAACAGAUUAAGUUAAAAUAUAACUACAAAAGAUUAACCUCAAUCUUUGAGAAAAAAAAAUGCAGUUAUACGGAAUCUCACAGAAGCACCAUUUUUCCCCCUCAUUUGUUUCUUUUUUUUAUUUAUUGUCUUCAAUGAACUUUCUAUAAUUGCACUCAGAAUUUGACCCUAAAGUCAAAUAAUUAAGAUUGAAAUCCUCCUUUUUUACAAUUAUUCAUUAUAUUUUUAAGCUAAUAUGUUUGUUGCUUAUUUUUAUUGUCCCAGUGUAGUAACUUUUAAUCAGAUUCACAUAGUUAAAUAUACUUUUUUUCUGACAGAAGUUGUGUAUCUAUCAGUCUUAUUCAAGAGCAUGAAUUUUAUCCAGGUAAUUAUGAGUAACUGAUCAGGUUUUCUGCAUGUCUGGGGUCCAGCUUUUCAAGAUUUCCUCUGUUCCUUACAUUGGAUACGUAGAAAAAAAAAAAACAUUCCUCUGAAUUUCCAUCUAUACUCUCUUUCAAGGUCAUAGGGAUCUUCCGUAGUUCUCUCCUUCACAUUUUCCUCUGGAUCCCUCACUUUGUCUUUGUCCCUGAGAAUGAUACUCUUGCAAGUGUUUUCCAUCCCAGCUCUGGAUUCUAUAGCCUCACUGACACCCAGAUGAACUCAAUUCCUCUGCCUCCAUCUUAUAUGUAUAUAAAACGUUAAUAUAUAUUAUCUGUAUAUAAACCUUUUCCUUUAAACUGAUUGUAAUAAUUUUUAUUACUUUUAAGGGGAGUGUUCCAGUUCUGGCUUUCAGGAAAAGUAAUGUCCAUUCUAUGAUUCUAUGAUUCGUACAUUUCAAACCUAUUUUCCUGAGUAAAAAUGGUGGAGAAUAUUCUUUUCAUCAUAUCACUUUUAUUAUGUGAUAUUUGGAUGAGAAGAAACCAUGAUGGUUUUGGAAAAAACUGCUUACACAAUGCUGCUUAAUUAAUAUAAUUGGUCUAUGUACGUCACUCUGAAAAUAAUGCCUCCUAUUUAUUUACAUAGAAAAUGCACUAGAUACAAGGAGCACAAUAACACUAUUUGAUAAAGCAAAUUCUAAGCUAGAAAACACUAUUUUUUAACACAGUGACCACCAUGAGCUCCACAUUUCACCAUCCAUGAACAAGAGCCUGCAUGCUGCACUUCUAAAGAUAUGCACCAAAAGAGGUGAAUCACUUUCACUGUCACCACUGCUGAAACACACCACCCACUGCCUCAUUGAGUUCACAUCCACUGUUUGGUUUCCAUAAACAUUCAGCAAGCAUCGAUGAAUGUCAGUGGGUGUAAUGUUUUCCACGUGGAGGAAUUCAUUGACACACCUUUGCUUCAUACAAACCUCCUUGUCAGACUGCUCCUCUGCUGCCCUCUGUCACACAGCAACAAAACAUAACGGAAUACUGGUGGGAAAUUUCAGCCUUUACUGCCAUACCACCAACAUUUGCCUCUGAUGUUGUCAGUCAACCUAAACAAAUAGGAGGCAUUAUUUUCAGAACAUCCCUCGUACAUCCUUAGGAAUGGGGUAGCAGUCCAAAUAUAGGGUUGAAAGAUCAAGAUGAUUACCAGCUAUUCAUGGAGAACUGGAAAAAGCAAUCAAAGAGGAUGUGAGUUAUUAUCCAUAUCAGUUUAGGUUCAGAACCUAUGGGAGGGAGAGAGCCCUCCCAUAAAAUCAGUUUAGAAGGAUGAAAAAGAAUCCGUUUGUUUAGCACUGUGUCUGAGACAAAACCAAAUAGACUUACUGCUGUAAAUACACUCCUCUACUGGCCUGCAGGAAAACAUCACGGAUCCUCAGGAGGAAAUAGUGGGAGAUUUUUAUGACUUAAUAAUAAUAAUAAUAAUAAAAUUUUAAAAAAUGAAAUAAAUCCUGUGUUUACUCUUGCUAUAGUCUCAAGCCUCACUGAAACCUUAGCAGUGAUAAAAGGGAGGGCUGUUGAGGUGGGACUUGUGAUUUUGGGAUCCUGGAGGUAAUGUCUGCUUUCCCUUAUGGAACCAUUGCUCUCUCUGUACACUUUCUACUCACCCACUUAUGGGAGUGGGUGGAAGGUUGGGGAGAAGUCAAGUCCUUCUCAAGGACAACAAAAGAGGCCUUUGUAAAGCAACAUGGACGCUAAAGUCCUAAGGGAGGUCCUAAGGGAUUAAAACCAGAGAAAAAAAAAUAAUCCUUUGGUCCUCCAGACACAACAGUGGAAACAAACUACUUCUCCUUUACUUAAUAUUUAAAAUAUUAAAAGUUUGCAAAUUCCCCAAAAUGGAAUCCAAUUAUCCUUACAAACAGAACCUGAUUUCCCCAAUUCUCUGAGCCACUGAUGCUCAGCAGCUGGCUGAGCUGUUUUGCACUCUAGAAUCUAGGACAGCUGACAGUCAACAGAUUUACUUUGCUGAGAGGAUUUGCUGGUAAUUUUGUCCAGCUUCUGUCUUCCAAUGACAGUCAAUAUUUUCCAAGUAAACUCAUCCAUGAAUUCAUGUAAAGGCCUGAUUUAAAGCAUUAGGCACUGACACAUCCCCUUUUACUGCUUUAGAUACAGUUCUAACUCCACCAAAAGAUAAGCAUUUUGAUGGAAUGCAGUGAUCAUUUAUGUGCUGUUAAAGUAACACAGACAAUUGAGCACCUUAAAAUGCUGACGUGUUACUCUCUGAAUGUCUUCUGUUUCAAUGAUCAAAAACUGGCCACAAAGUUAUAUACUAAAAAAAAGCAUAUAAAAAUCUGACUAGUGCACAGCAAUGCAACAGUGAUGCUCUUGGUCCAUGAUUCUCUCAAUGAUAAUUAAGGGCUAAAAUCAGUAUAUUUUUCUUGCUAGAUAGCUACAAAAUGAGGAGGGGAAGGGAAUACAGAAAGGAGGAAAGGGAAGUAGCAAAGUACUUCGAUCAAUCACUUAUCAAACUUUUCCUGGUGCACCUGUACCUUUGGGAACCUGAAUAACUCACUGAGGUGACACAUGCAGUUCACUGUUCCCUGGCUAAAGCCAUGAUCACCAGACAGUAUUCAGAGUAGUGUGCUACACUCAAACUAUUGAUGUGCUGGCAACAAAUAUCCUGUGUGAAGAUACUUUUGUCAAAACAGACAUUGUUCUGUCUAAAUGUGCUUAAAAUCAAAUUAGUAUCACUAAGCAGCAAUCAACAGGUGGGUAAAAGUGUAUGAUACCAGUUAAUUAAAGACAGUUCACAAUUCUAUCUUUCUGACAAAAGACAGACCAGGCAGAGUCUCUGAAAUGCUUGAACUCUGUUUUGUGCCAUGAUAAACAUGCACCAAUUGUUGGAAAUGGUCUUGAUUGAGUCAAGCUAUUGUAAAAUCCAUAAGUUCUCUCUCUCACCCAUACCACUUACUGAUAUGCUCUAUUUAUUUAAAGUUUGAAAAGAUACAGAUGGUAUUUAAACUGUCUGAAAUCACAUGUCAAUAAUGCACAACAGUUCUGAUUAUUAGGGAUCUCCUUGCUGCCAUAUAAUCUGUGUAAGGUCUCACUUAAUGCAAAACUGAACCAUUCAAAUGUUCCCAACUAUGACUACUGAGAUAAUGUCCAUUAUUGCAAGAUCUAGGUCACUGUUAUUUUAAAGCAGAGUCAUGCUACUAGUCAUAUUUGCUAGUCAUACAAACACCUUUCAGACAAAAGCAGCUGCAAUUUCUCCUCUAAAUAAGUUUUAAAGACUUUUGAAAGACAGAGAUGGUAAAAAUAAGUUGCACUCCACCAUAAUGCAUGGUAGAGUGCAAUGUCACAGAGGUUGUGGAUGCCCCAUCCCUAAGGCAUUCAAGGCCAGUCUGGAUGUGGCUCUGGGCAGCCUGGUCUAGUGGUUGGUGACCCUGCCCACAGCAGGGAGGUUGAAACUAGAUGAUCUUAGAGGUCCUUUUCAACCCAGGCCAUUCUAUGAUUUUUCCCACAAUGUGUACAAUUUAUUGUGAAAAUCAUUCAGUCCUUUGUGUGGAGGAAACUAGUACAACAUUUACAGGAGCAAAUUACAGAAUAAUUUCAGAAUGGAUGCUCACAGUAAAGAAUAAUGCAUGUGAAUUAAAUACUGGAAUAAAUGUUAAGUAAUAACAAUGUCUUAAAUCCAUUGGUUUAGAAGGAGAUUUCUUCAUUCAGGCAUCUGUUCAUUUAUAUCAAAUGGUUUUGCUCCUCUGUCACUGAGAUAUUUUUAACUUUUCUUCCCCUUCUCUCAAAAUCUGUUCAUUCAAAUAGUCUCAUCUUGACAUAUCACUGAAAUAUAUUUCUGCUAUGGUUAAGAAAGUAGACAGGACUCACUCAGUAAGACAAUAAAUAAUUCAAAGUGGUGACCAGGAUGCAGUUCUACACACAACUGCAAAAUUUGAAACCUGCUGGGCAGAAAUCAGUCACAGUCCAGAUGUCCAGAAUGAUAUCUUUUCAUACUUUCCCCAAGGAAAGUAAAUGCCUCUCCCCCCAUCUUUUUUUUCUUUUUUUUCUUUUUUUUUCUUGUCUCCUGUUAUGAGAAUAUUCAUAAUACUAUCCCCAACUCUACGAAAAUCCAUAUCACACUGUGGUUAUUCUUCCUGGGUUUUCUUGUUUUUACUAAGAGAAGAGCAUAUCAUCUUUAUUUAUACCAAGAGAUGAGCAUACCAUCUUUAUUUACACCAAGAGAUGAGCUUACCAUCUUCAGAUGAACAGAAGAUACUCCUAGAGUUACAAGCACAGAGAAGGGAAACAGCACACUUGUCAUGGGUAAUAUAGCUAAAUAUCACCCUGAAGUAGAACAAUUAUCCUAUGGUGCAUAUAUCAAAAUACUUCAAAUUUCCAGCAUCUUCUGAGUCACUAAGUUUAUUUAAAAUAGCUUGCAAUCAAUAACUUUAAGAAGUUAAAUAUAAGAGAGGUUUGAUUUUGCUUUUCUAGAAAAAAAAAAAAACAAAAUAAGGAUACUGCUUUUAAGAUAACCAAGCAUAAGUAAGGUCAUGGUUCUGGCCAACAAGAUAACUGGAUCCAUAACCAAAGCAAUACUUUAAUUUCUAUGUGACCUAAUUUGUUAACACUGGUAUUAAGCACACCAAAAGCAAGUAGAAAUCUGAAAUCCAAGCUUUUUUCUUCUUAUAGCCUGUGUCACUGCACAGUUACACAUACAAGGUAUGGCACACUUCAUCAGUAGGGAAAAGACUACCACAGAAAAGAUUCCUUUUGUCAAGAUAAGUUAAAGUAAUGUUCUGAUCUUCAGCAAAGAUAUGCAGUAAUUUUGAGUAUUUGUUCUUAUUGCUUCCUACAAAUGCUUAAUGCAUUACUGAAUACUUGCACAAACUCCUUCCAACUACAUACACAACGCUUAGAAGGAUUCUUCCAGUGCCAUCUUUAUCCACAAUGAUCCUCAUUCUUCAAAAUUAAAAAUUGUUUUUCUGCAAGAUUAAAAAAUUCAUAAUCCGUUCAGCACUGACUGCCAAACAUGCUCGUGUGACAAGAUUUUGGCCAAGGUGAUAAACUGGGCAUUUUUCCUAUGUCACGUGACUUUUGUUGCUUAUUUGGCAUCGUGAAAAUGAAAGGAUUUAUUUUAUCAUCAUUUUCACAUAUAUUUUACCUUUGCCAAAUCCAGUUUUUAGUAUGUGUUCUAAUCAGACUUAAUUUUGGCCUUGAGGGAAAAGAAAAUUGAGCAGUCAAGGCAUUGCAGAGCAGCCAACAUCCGUGAGUGAAAUUCAACUUUGGCGUAACCUAACUGGUUGGGCUUCAGCAGGAAAGUGUCUGUACAGGGGGAGCAGGGAUGGAGGUGGCAGGUAUUUGGAAGAGCAUACAGAAAAUUGCCAAAGCAGUUCAGAAAUCCCUGCAGUAACAGCUCCAAAAACUGACAAACAAGAGCAGGAAAAUCAAACCUGAACAAAUAAUUUGCAGUGCGUGUACAUAAAUUUACCUGGAAAAUCCAUUGCUCACUCUUAAUCCCUUGUUAAUCUUGAGCGUGACAUAAGUUUUCAGGCUAGAACUCCACAGGAUGAUGAGUGAUGAACAGGGAUGUUUCAGCUGGGCAGAAAAAAAACAAGCCUUGGAACACCAGAAACUCGUUCUUCUGAACAACACACACUUAAGGCAGCAAAAAAUUUAUACAGGAUGCAAGCAGCUCAGGCAUUUCCUGGAAUCACUUUUAUUUCUCUUAAUGCAGUAUAUGCUUUAAGUGCCCCUUACUUGACAAGGGAGCUGAAGUUGGUUCUUCAAUACAGAAUAAAAACGCAGUGAUGUAACACAGAGUUGCAUCUUUACAUUUGUCAGCAUGGUUGUGAUGAGAUUCAUAGCUAUGUGUCACACUGUGCUAACUGAGCUCCCAACAUACUGCAGCCACACGAGUUCAGGCAAAUGACUGCUUUCCAGGAAAUUUUAUCUGAAUUAUCCUUCUGAACUCUGGCUAAAGCAUUUUUCUUUAAGUUAAACUUGAAGUCCUGAAACAUUAAAGAGCAUUAUGCAUCAACUUAAUUGGAAACAGUUUUGCCUCAACACAUCCUGCAUUUGUUCAAGGACUUAGAAAGAGAAAAGCCCAUGCUUUGAAGCACCGUGACAACUUAAGAUAAAUUUCACAUUACUUUUCUAACAGAGUAUAAUUGAAAACAUACUUCAUCACAGACAGUAAUCUUAUUCUGGGUAGAGAUGCAUUUAGCCCACAAGUCUGAACCUCAAAAUUCCCAAGUCUUGAUCAAAUUCUGACUGUGGCCCAAACUGUCUUCUCAUUCUGUAAGAAGCAAAUCCAGUUUUAAUAUUACUGGGUUUAUUAAUUAUUAUUAAUAUUAAAUUAUUAAUAUUUAACAUUACCCCAACAAUAAAAAAAAAAAAAAGGGGGAAAAAAAAAAAAAAAGAAAUAAGAAGACUCCAAACUAUGUAGCUCCUAUUUUUAUGCCAGUUUUUCAAGAGGUCUUUUUCCCAUCUCAGCACCCAUCUCUCUCCUGCUUGGGUACUGCUGCCAUUUAGAGUGAAGCAGUACACCAGUCACUCAAGGUCACAGAGGAAGGCUCUUGCAGAGCCAGAAAUUUGAAUCAACAUCUCCUGUGCCCUAACCACAAGGCUCUCCUUCCUCUCCUUAACAGCACAGUGUGUUUCUUUGUUAAGUUUCUUUCUAGUUAGACAUAACAUAAUGGGCCUUUUUCUUUAUUCAUAGAUAAUGGCAAUAUGACAUUAUGAGAUGGGCAGUUGUCAUUCGCAGGGAAUGUUCUUUUUCCGCUUGCCCCUAAAACACAAACAUCACUUAGCAGAUUGUUGUCAGUCGAUGAAACUAGGAUCUCUGUGAUUUACAAUCUUUUUCCAGCAGUCUCGCAAUAGAAAUUUGUCCUUUAUUUCUGUUUUUCAUGAUACGAAAGGUUGACAACUUGUGGAUCCUAGAUAGCAAGUAUUGCACCAUUUCCUAUACAACCUUCACCAGACAUAUAAGAAAAAAAAGCCUUCUUCACCAAGGAAAUGAAGUCAACAGCAGGUAUUUAUUUCAAACCCUUGAGAAGGUUUACGUACCACAGUAAUAGAUCAGUAGUCACUGCCUACCAUAAUAUGUGAGCAGCCUUACACAUAUCCCUACAAGACAUGAGAAGCCCAACAGCAUCAAGUGGAAGACCCAGGCACAGUACUGCAUUUUCUGUUGUCACAUUCUCCAUUUUAAUCAGAGGGACACAUUUGCUAUUUCAAGACUCUGGAGACUAUGGUUGGAAGUCAUUCUAUGAAACAAGAGAAUUAUAGAUAUUCACUUUAUUUGUGCAGACAAAUAAAAGAAUGCAUUUGACAGAUGCCUGCCAUACAGAACUCCAUCUUUGGGUUACUAUUUUUGCAUUCAACUCAAAAAAAUAAAAAUGAAAAAAAAUCUAGUUUCUUUAAGCCCUGUCCUCUUUUCCAUGACCUUUUUGAUCAAUAAGCCUUUGUUUUGCUGCAAUUCCUUGGCAUGACUACUGCUAGUCCUUAUCUCAUAUUUACAUUUAAGCUCUUUGGGCCUUGGCAGAGGUUUGAGUCAUAUAUUUUCCUUAGAUUACAAACUCUAAAUGAAGUCCAUCACUUGAGAGUGUGGUCUUCUCAGGAGACCCAGAAAUUAGCUGACUACCUUCACUGUUUGAUACAUCUUCUGGCAAGUUAGUGAAAUUCAGGUUGACAGCUAUUUUCAUAUAGAUAACAGGCUUCUCUGUCUUUUUAAGACUUUUUUUGGGGGGGGGGGGGGGGGGGGGGGGGGAAGAGGAUGGUAGGGACUCGGGAAGUCUCCAUCAGAUUCUGCAGUUGCUAUCAUUUAAAAAAAAGCAACAGCUCCAAUGGCUCUCUGGCACUACAUGAUCUUCUCACAGGAGUUUCACUGAUAAAAAUAAGUCCCAUUUUCAGGUGACAAACCAGUGUGAAACCUUCUGCUCUCCGUUAAGGUUGUUGCCCUAUAUAAAGAGCCAUUUUUCAGACACUGCACUGUAACAGCAAUCUCUAGCUUACCUCUCAGCAACUCUAUCUCCGUAAGUACUGCAUUCGAGCAAACAGACUAAAAAAAAAAAAAAAAAAAAGUCUAAGAGAUCUUAAGAAAAACAACAUUGACAUUCCACUAAUACUUGCCUUUUCCCCUUCUCCAACAGCAAAUGCUGAAAAGGUGCAAGUGACCAACUUCUGAAAUGCUACAUAAAUGCUCAGAAAUAAAUCAAAGAUUUAUACCCAAGUAGACACAACCAAAUGAAACUCACUUUCAGCUUCACAAUGCGGAAUAACGCAUUUGUGAGUGACUGAUAUAUUGCUCAUGAAAAGGGAAAAAAAAUACAAGAAGAAGCCUUUUCACAGUUCAAUAGAAAGUCACAAUAUUUGAGAAAUGAAUAAGGAGUCAUGUAAUGGCUUUGCAGCUUUUGAACUUUCACAUGUUUCAGAUUUUUCUAAUGCUUGCGUGGAUUAAAGAGAUUCACAUCUCAAUGGCUAGGGCACCUAACGUUUUUUCUGGAUCAGGUUUAAUGCUUUCCACACUGUAAAAAUUUCACUUUGCAUGAACACACCCUGAAUUUAAGGAAUUUUUCAUAUUUAAGUGUGUGUUUUCCAGUAUGUUUCUUUUUAUGUUAACCUCGUCAAAGGGCAUGGUGUCUGGAUCAUAAGAAUCAUCAACUACUUCAAUUUCACACAUCAAUACACUGGGCCUUUCUGGCAUGCUUUUCUUCCCAGACUCCAAAAAUAAAUUAAAGGGAGGAAAAAAAGUCAGGAGACAAUAAAUUAGAAGACAUCCAGAUUUUUUUCUUUACUUCUGUGUAUUAUCUCAACUUGGACCCCAGAAUAAAAAGGAGAACCAUUUAUUGCAGUGAUGUGCAAAGUUCAUCGUUUUAAAGCUACAACUACACCCUAUUCAUCUCUUUAAAAAUAUUUCAAAGCAGGGCUGUGGGACCCAAAGAAAGAGAAGAGUCUCUGAUGUCCACCCAGCUCACACAGAAAAACACUGCAUUUUCUACCCUUUGACAAAGGAUUAAGGAGUGACAAAAAGCCUCUCUAUCGUUUCUAAAAAAUGGGUAUGUGUGUGCAUGGAUAUGACGCAAACUCUAACAGGUAUAAGGAAGGUGUGGGUAUCAUCUAGAAUCAAGAAACCAUCACAGGCUUCAUGGAAGCCGGCACAUGCAUUUAGUCUUUAUGGCUCAAAAACUAGGGCGACCAGGUGUUUAAAACAUUAGCACGCAAAAGGAGUGACAGUCCAAGUUGUUGGGGACUGUGUAGAACUGAAUCUAACGGAUGAACAGAGGGUGUUUUGUUGUUUCUUUGUUGUUUUUUGUUGUUUGUUGCUGUUACUGCUGUUUGUGAUUGUAGACCAAUAGAGAAAGAUAAUCUAGGAAAAUGCAAGUAAAGGGGGUGUAAGAGCAAAGAGGAAUGUUGUGCAUUGACACUGGGAGGAUGAAGCUUUUUUUGAAUGCUACUUGCAGGUAUAACCAUUUUGGGUAUUUCUGGAAAAAGAAGAAAGAAAGGAAAAAAAGAGAAAAGGGGAAAGAAAAGGGAGGGGAAGGGAGAAGAAAGAAAAGCUCUGAUGACUUUUGCCUGUGUUUGUUGAAGCAAAAUUGCAUACUUGCUCUGUAAAAUAAAGCACAUGGCUGCAAAACUGCCCCCAAAAUACAUUUCAUUUCUAUCAUCAGUUUCUCAUUCUUAUCGGAAUUGCCAGGUUCUGAAUUCUGACCUUGGGGCUUAAAACACAAUGAAUGUGCAUGAAAGAUUUUACACACUUUUCACCAAAAGAACAACUUCUAUGUCCCAAACCAUAGCUUUUACAACUAACAGCUAUAUUUGAAAACAAAUGUAUCCUUUCACCCUGUGAAUUAAACAAUAAAAUGCUUUUGUGGGAAGUCUGUGUUCCACACGGACAUUUAUUACUGAAUUUGCAUUUAUGACUAUGCUCAGUUUGUUUCACUGAAGUUUGUUUCAUUCAUCUAAGCAAACACAGCCACCAAAAUAGUUUCUAAAAAAUCACAUUAUGGAAUGACUUCUCUUCAAUAGCAUACCAGUUCCUCAUGUAAUAGCACCAUACUAUGCUAUUUUCUCCCAAAGCUUAUCAGAUCUGCUAGUACGUCAAAGUGUGCAAGAGUACCAUCUUAAAAUACAAACACUUUUCAGGAGGCUUGUGUUCAGUGUUCUGGCUGCAUAAGUCCACUUUUCAGCCUACAGCAUGAAGUUCAAGGCACAAAAGAAGUUUUGGUAAUACAAGGUAUUAAAAUAAAUACCAGUGAACACUAGUAUGCAUCAUAAACAUACAGGGGAUCUUUGAGCUGACUCUUUAAGGGUGAAACAAAACACCACACCGUACUCAGUAAAGUGAUUUUUCUGCCUGAGAAAACACUGUUUUUUCUGUUUUGUCUCCUCCCAGUGUGAUUGGCAGUGUUGCAAGCCAACAAUUGCAACAAGCCUAGAGUAUAACUGAAUUUAUUGGUAUCCAUCAUUAAGCAACACAGGAGUACAGCCAGAAAUUCACUGCCUGAGAUUUCCUCUAGCUUUCUAUGUAUUAGAAAUGUUUGAUCCAUAUAGAAAUCUUAAACUAUGGAACACUAUCGAUUCAAAAUCCUGUUGGGCUUCUGACUAUUUUGCAUGCUCUUAACCACCAUUAGAGUCAACAACAAUAUCAGAGAAUUAUAGAACAUGAGGGAGCCAGGACUGCCUAAGGCUAUCAAAAAGCCAAGGGAGAGAGGUGGUUUGAAUAAAGGAUAUUACCUCUCCUUACAAACACCAUCAAACUGAAAACAUUGUAAAUAUGAUUGAGCAAAGAAGGCAACCAACUGCUGGCAACAUUUGAAACUUUGGAAAAUCCCUUUGGAGAACUGGACAAGCAGGUGUCAUGCCCUGGUUUGCACAGCUCUCCAACCAGUCCACCAGUCUCAGCUUUUGCUUGGUCCCGUGGCUUUCAGAUGAUCUACUCUAUUUGAAAGCACACAAGCAAGUUGUUCUGCACAGCAUUAUUAUUCCAUCCUGCUCCUUGCAAAUGCGUCAUAACAUGAGAAUCUGCUUUGUGAAAUCAAAUAUCACUUGCCUGAUUGGGCCCCUUGGUAUGCCAUUUACUUGUUUCUUCUAAAAUAAAUGAGAUUACUCUCAUAAAACAGGGGAAAGUAUUUUGGAAGGCAGUGCUUAGUAUUCGUAUCUUCCAUUUUGUUCUCAUAUUCAGCUAACAUACUAAAUACAAACUGACACUACAAAAAGAGACACCAUGGGAGGCUACUUAUUUAUUUGAUAUUUACAAGUGUCUCUCCAAUACCACAAAAAUAUUAGGAAUAGUGAGUGUAAUGCCAAGAAAUCCAAGACAAGACCAACUGCAAGACAAGUGCGCUAUUCACUGUCUGUUUACAGAAAAUACUUGCUGCAAACACGUGACUAUAGCGGAGCAAAUAAGGCAUUGAUAUGCACCAAAAUUUCUGCUCCCACACAAAAAGGAUGGGUACAUAAAGUUUACAUGAGUGGAGUUAAGCCAAAGCUAGAGGGAAAGGGAUACAACCUUACCAGUCUUGGGAGAGACAAUGAACUUGUAGUCUCAUCAGUGAGUUAUAAACAACUGCAGGUUUGAGUUUCAAAAGAGUAAUAAGAAAAGAAUAGCACCGCUGGAGAUGGCUUCACUAACAAUUCAGUUCAGCUAAGAUGGUGUGUAUGUAUUCUUGCACUUGCAUGCAGGAACUGUAAGUGAGAUCCAUAAUAUAUUGCCAUUAUUAGAGUUCAUGAACAGGAGAUUUACCCAAAGAUUCAUCAGCCGUGUUUCAACCAUCACCAAACCAAGUUUGCAGCACAGUGUCUCCUCCUAUGUUCAGCCUGGGUUCUCCAAGUAGCAUAACAUAGGAAAAAAAUCUAUUACCAACAGUCAUCUACUGGCUUCCAUUUUUUCAAAUGCUUUCAACUUAGAGGUAUCCAAACAUUUUUUACCUCGGAAAGGCCUAAUUACUGUGUCUGUCAGGCUUACAACAAAAACACAGCAAACUCUAGACACAACUGUGGCAUACCUACCUCCAAAUUAAUAUUUUUGUUGGAUGUGGAUGUGAGCAUUUUAUUUACGUAACAUCAAAGUUUUUUUUUGUUUGUUUGUUUUUGUUUUUAAAGGAAGGAAUCCAUUGUUAACUUCAGUGAUGAUAACAGAAUAAGUCAUUAAAGAGCUAGAAAGCAUUUCCUUUUAAAGACUGCUUUUUUUCUGCCUCUGCACUUCUGGGCCCUAUCUUUGUAGGUCAAAACAUAACCACCUUAUUCCCUGAGUUUCCACAGACUGUUACAGACUGGACUCAUUCUUUUUUUGUUUGUUUUGUUUUGUUUCACUUGCUGUUUCAUUUUAUCAAAACAAAAGAUAUUUUAUGAUGAAAACAGAAGUAUAUGAAAACACAAAGUUAUGGAGACUAACCCCAACUCAACCUUAUCUACUCAGUAGGAAAGCGUUACUUCCUCGUAUUUUCUAAUACUCAAGGGCAAAUUUAUUGCUUAAAGAUUCAAGCAUUCAAAGAAUGUUCAGAGGAAAAGAGGAAUGAAAACUCAGAAAUAGAAAUACUACACUCUGGAGUGAGAAGAGAGACAAAGACAUGUUCAGCUGAAAAUACGUAGACCUGAUACCUGGUCCCAGUGAGUGCCAGGAUAAAACAGCCAUUGGUUGAAGUAAGGUCAUGAUCUCUGUCAAGAUUUAAGUCUGGACUCACUUUUGAAACAGCAUCAUUUGUCGGUGGUGGUGGUGAAUGGGAUGACAGGAUUAAUGUGAUGGUUAUGCUCUGUGUUGAAAUGGCACGAAUUGUAUGUCAAGAUGCUUUCACCAUAAACAAGCCAGCACUGAACACUUGGAAGCACAGUUCUGGUAUUAAUCUGAGGUAACUGUGAUUACACAUUAUAAUGUAUGCUCCAAUACUGCACUUGUGUAAAUUGUCUGUGUCUUUUAUAUAUAUACUAUACUAUGUAUAGUAUAUAUAUACUGUGUCUUUUGUAUAUAUACUAUACACACAAUGUGUGUACAGUAUUUCCGAGUAUAUAGGCGCACACAUGCAGGAAAAAUAUGAAUGUGGGAGCCACAGUAAUGCUGCUCCUGGCUGAAGGUAAUGUUACAGAAUUAGUUUCCAUCUUAGUGGAUCACAGGAAAAAAAAUACUGUAAGGAUUAUUUUAAUUUGUAAAACAUUUGUAUUCCCUCCUGUACUGCAGUAGAAGGAAUGCGUCAACUGCCACUUUUUAAGAAAUAUAAUACACUUCCUCCUACUUUGGGUUUGAAAUUGGAACCAAAACAAAUUUGCUGCAGAAAAAACUGAUCUUAAAGGUCCUGGCAGGAGGUAAAGUCUGGAAGUGAGCUCACUCCUUGCUGCCAUUAUCCCUUCAUGGGAAUCUAGAUGUGCCAUUCUAUAUCCUGCAUCCUCUGCUCCUUUUCAGAAAACCAGAAAGCUGAAUGACAUCACAAAAUGCACAAAGUGCACAACCAGCCAAGACUCCUGGGUGAGGAAUACACUGACCACCACAGCCAACUCAAAUAGUGGUAGGAUUUUGGAUCCUUGAUUGGAAGAAAAAAUUGUCUGCAUAUGCUACUUGUAAAUCAGCACUCGCUUAGCCACCCUAGAGAAUGAAACAGCACAAUAGAUCUUUCACAGCUCACAGGAGAGGUCAUGGUACAAAAAUGCUGAACAAUGCAACACAAUCUUUUGUAGGUAAGCAACUUCUGGGUGGGAGGUGUGAGUUGUUACAACAAUAGAAACCUCAGAGGAGACAAUCAGAAAAUUCUUAACAUGCUUUUUGAAGGAAUGUACACAACUGACUGUAUUUUCAACAGACAUAUAUUUCAAACUCUUCUGGUGCCCUGAUUCUUAUGCUUUAUAAACACAUACAUAGAAAGAGCUAGAUUUUGUUUCUGUUUCAUUAACUCCACAUUUCUGCUACUUAUAAUUAUCCCAGGCAUUAUGAUCAGACAAUUCACACAUUAAUUUAUUUGAGGUAAUUUCCUUUAAAGUGACUUGCAGAAUAGUAACCUAAUGUUGAGUACAAUUUCUGGUGCACUGCAUUUUUCAUAUUUAAUAUGUCACUUGACAGUUUGUUAAAACUGACUGACUUGAUGUCUGUUAUAAACGUUCACUGUACUGAAAUCCCAAACAAAUAUCAGGGAUAUAAUUCUUUUCCAUAGACUAUAUGCUUAAUAUUGUUUCUUGCCUUCCUCUGGGCUCGCUCUUAGCAUGAAUAUGCCAAAAUAAGAUGAUACUCAACUCAUUACAACUCAGUACAGAAAGGACAUGGAGGUGCUGGAGCAGGUCCAAAGAAGGACAACAAGGCUUGUGAAGGGCUUGGAGAAUAUGCCCUGUGAGGAGAGACUGAAGGAACUGGGGCUGUUUAGUCUGGGGAAAAAAAGGCUGGGGGGAGACCUCUCUUCCAAUAUCUGAAAGGUGCCUACAGAGAGAGCGGGGUUGGUCUCUUCUCACUGGUGACAGGUGACAGGAAGAGGGGAAAUGGCCUUAAGUUGCACCAGGGUAAGUUUAGGUUGGAUAUCAGGAAAAACUUUACUGAAAGGGUUGUUAAGCACUGGAAUAGGCUCCCCAGGGAGGUGGUUGAGUCACCAUUCCUGGAUGUGUUUAAAAAUCGUUUGGAUGUGGUUCUCAGGGACAUGAUUUAGCAGAGGGUUGUUAGGGUAGUAUGGUUAGGUCAUGGUUGGACUCGAUGAUCUUUAAGGUCUUUCUCAACCUGAGUGAUUCUAUGAUUCCAUGAUUAUGAUUUUUCUAAAAAAUAUGUUUCCACUGAAAUUAAUGUAAUAUGGUACGGUAGUUUUGAUUUGCUGAUGUCCAAGUUAGCUGAUGUUGCAAGUCAACUGGGUGAAACUAUGACUGGCUACAUUCAAUGAGGGUGAGAACUUUAAAAUACAAUUCCAAACAAAGCCUGGCCAUUGCCUACCCUCCCAAAAGUAAACCUCUCCGCGACCUGAUCCUUCUCUCUCAUCACUAAAACAGGUUUAUCACAUGGAAUGCAAGUGGGAGCAUGAGGGGAAACAGCAGAAAACACAACAUCAAGAAGGUUUGGAAGACAUGCCAAAGUGAAAAUGGUAGCCCAGGUGCAAAGCCAAAGCCACUAACAGCAUCCCACAAGAAAGCAGAUCAAGAAAUAGGGCUUUGAUCAAGAGAAUACUGGGAGGAGUGGUUUCCUGCUGUGGGAAGUGGGACCUGCAUCACAGUUACACUUGCUGGAGUUACAUCUGGACAGAUGGUGAGAACACAGCCAGAAGGAGAAACCUCUGGGUUUCCAAUAAAGCCUCUCUUCACUUUCAUGCCUUCACAAGUCUGUCAAUCCACAAAGCUGUCUGGAAGAAAGAGACAGGGAAGAGCUAUGUGCUUCAGUAGUAAAUGACCAACAGGUAAAGAGACACAGAAAAUUCAAAUCUGUACAAAUCAAAUGCUUUUGCCUAGACUACAAAAUGCACUCAGAUGUAUGUCUCCAUGUUUAACUGAUUCACCUUCAAACCCUCCAGAGAAACUUCAUGAGCUGAGGCAGGGGGCCAGGAAACUCCAGGGGUAAUUCUGGCCAUCCUGACAGAUGCUGCUCUGAGAAGUGUCUCAUUCAUCCAGGUAUUUCACAUGAAACUCAAAUGAGCUCACACUUUUCAGCAAUGAGUCACACACUCAUUUGGCAAAUACAAAGACUUCAGAGUCCCUCUCCCUCAUUCCCAGAUGCUGGAAAGUCACAAUUCUUUGAGUGUGAUGUCAGGAGGUGUUGCCAUGAAAACCCUUUUAAAAUCAUAAGCACUAAAUUGUAACUCCUUUUGCAUGGUAAAGGAUCACACAGGGGGUACUGCGGUUUGGAGGAAGAUAUCUUAUAAUUAGUGAUAAUAACAAAGGAAAUAUCCAUAAUUACAUCAAAGAAGUCUUCACUGAGUAUUGUUUUUACUUACUUCCAGAGGGAACACAUAAUUCUCUGAAAAAACAUGACUGUUUUAAGCAGAUGUAGAUAAAUAAAAAAGUGCUAUCAAGAGAAUCAAACUUCAAACUGAAGCCGGAAAAAUACUUCAAAAUGCACAAGAGGUUAUCUAAUCAAUCAGCUUAAAGGCCAGUCGUCAGCUCUCCGCCAACAGGCAGAGCUGCUAUGUCUGCAGUGUGUGCGCAUCUUUUCAGAUGAACACGGCACACUACAGCAUAUCCUGGGUGCGUGUAUCUGCAUACAGGAGGCACAGUCUGGGGAUUCAUUUCAUCCAGCCACACAAACAGGACUAAUUUUGUAAAGUGCAGAUAGCUAAAAAUAGCCAAGAGUGAAGUUAUGCAAUAAAACCUGGUGUACGUUUUCCCUUUCCAGAUGAGAGAAUCUGACAUAGUUUCAAAUAGAGAAUAAAUAAAUAAAUAAAUAAAGGCGAUGGUCUGAUCAGUGUAUAAACUAUAUUCAUUUCAUUCCCUUCUGCAGAGAAGGAAUUUGAAUCUCCUAUACAUUAAAGAUGCAUGCCCACUGUCAUAUCAUUUCAGCGACUUAAAUAGUAAAUGAUCAAAAAUUCACAGUGCUUCUGCCCUCCUCUGGAAAAAAAAUAGGUCAAAAAUGAAUGGAAACAAACUGUCUUCUGCUCCUUUUUUAUGCAUUUGAGAGAGGAAAAAACAAGGGAGAUAAAUCUGCAUAAUACUGAACCGAAUCUCUUUAAUUCCAGUCAGCUUUUAUCAUUCAAUCACUGAGUCUGUAUGUGGAAAAAUUCAUGCUAAUUCCCCCUAGCAACAGCCUCAGCCUAUCAGGACAAGCCAUGCACCAUGCAGCUGCCAGCCAGCAAGAAUAACUCUAAGUAGGUCAGGCCUGCAUUUCUAAAAAUGCCACGGUCUAGUAACCCCACUGUCCCGUCUGUCUGCCCUGCCCCAUAAUAACCUCAAUUGCUUGGUGACACAAUGACAUACUGCCCUGUUAGAGCGCAAUCAAAUCACGCUGCAUUAUUCUGCUGCGAGCAUCACUGCUGGAAGAAGGAGCCGUCGAGGGGCAGCAUUAAUCAGGCGGCCAUUCAUGUCCACCGGCACUUCACUCUGGAGAUGGGGCCUGCAUUAAUGACCAGCUGUUGGAAGGAACACAAACAAAGUAACGCCUUCCACCCUGCCGGCUGUGCAGAAUACGCCAUUCUGUUCAGGCAGGUUGCACUCAUUGACAGAGGCCGCGAUGUAAAUUAAACAGCCCCAGACAAUGCCGGCUUUUGUAAGCUCCUACUAAUUAAAGUAAGUAUAUUUAAAUUAUACUACACACAAUUCAAAGAGCUAUUGGUUUAAUAUACAGAGUCAUCUCCUCCUACAAAUUUGUGUUCACGGUCAGGGGAAAAAAAAAAAAAAAAAAAAAAAAAACAGAACCCACAACCACUGUUUGCAUAAUACAAUCUACCUAUCCUGGUAAAUUAAAGAGCAGCACAAAGAGCAGAACUGCAGCUGACUUGCACUGCGAGCAGGGAACCACACCAGGCUGCCAAAAACAGGCAGCAAUGCACACUGACUGGUGAAGGGCUGUCGAUAAAAGCCAUGUAAACAUCUCCAGCCACAGCACGGGGAAAGGCCGGUCAGAGCAGGGUAAGCACCCCUGCAAUCUCACCGCUUAAGUGCUGUGGAGCAGCCAGCCCAGACCGAAAAACAACAGCAGGGAUCAGAAAGCUCCAGCCAUGUCCCUGUGGAGUAGGCAGCCCAGCGCCGCAGCAUUCCCAAUGCACCCCCAGGACCACGUUUGGCUGCAAGAUGUUGCGCUAAGGCUUUUUUUGCACCAUCCCUUAACCAGAGAAGCCUUAAUAGAAACCACACCUGAGCGCAGUAGGUCUGCACUGGGGUGGUAUUUCAGCAUCAAAUCUGCAACGCCAGAGCUGAGUUUUGGUGUGCUGGCUCUUUGUGUUUAAUUUUAUGCGUGCUUUUAAACACCUUGGUGCGGCUGGCCAGUCGCUCCCUCCUAUGCCUCGUGGCACGCAGCUGCCUGUGCAAGAUGGAGACGGGAAUGACAUUUCCUAGGACAGAUGGCUUGUCUGCAUUUCUUCCGAAGGAUUCACACUUCCACUCGGUGAACGUGUGCCCUCUGACAAACCGAUAAUUCAGUCUUCACUUUUGCAGAGUGCAGCCAGUCUCAUACGUGUAAGCCAUCCAGCUCUGAUUUACGAAUGCAGCUGAUUCAUUAAUCCAUUUCGCUCUGUUGUUCAAAGCAGGCUCGAGAACCAGGUUAUGACUGCCUUCCUUUGCUUUGUGGCACACAUCACACAGCUAUUCUUGGAGAGAUACAGUCCCUGACGUAACCACGGGUUCCUAAUUACAAGCUGCUGACAUUUUGCAGCUUUGAAGCUAUGAGCUAAGAGCCACUCUUCCUCCUGCUCGCUCGCUUUAAAACAGCCUGAGUUAGAAGCACAGCAGUUUCAGAAAGGUGCAGGAGUGGUAUACACUUCUUUUCAGAGCCUGCUGUAUUGCCAAGGUUAUUUUUCUUUAAGAAAACACAAAACUACAGUAUGGGAGUAAUAAGACUCCUCUGCCCCCAGCACAAGAAUGUUACCCAGCAGCUGGCUAAAUAUAAUCCAACACACAGGGCAGCCUUUGUAGACAGGGUAACAAACAGUGGAAGGGCCAGACAGGCAUCUUGCAGGGUAGCCCACCAUGACUAUUGGGAAAUCCCCCCGUACGCAUUUUAGGAUGACAUUAUGGUCUACGGAUUUGUAUAAAAGGGGAAAAAAAAAAAAGAAUAGAAAAAAGAAACCUCUUUCUCAGUAGGCAGCUGCUAAAAGCCAUGCCAAACCCCACUAGCUGACUGCAGUACUUGUUUUCCCUAUUUUUGCAUUGUUCAGCUAUGGGCAACCUGAGCUGCCAGCUGAACUCAGUAUGCCAAGCACUGUGACAAGUCUCCCUGUUCUAAAAGCAUGGACUCCUCAAUGCAUGCGCAGAAAUAUAAACCAAACAGAUAAACAAAAAGAGCCCAAGCCAAUCAGAUGACAAUGACAAAAAACAAAAAGAAAACCAAACAGGUACAUUUCAGAAAAAUCUGCUGCUAGCUGCUGUCUCUUUUAAUAGAGGAAUAAUCAUUUUUUAAUUAGAGGCUGAUUUUAAAAUUCUAAAAAAAAAAAAAAAAAAAAGAAAGAAAGAAAGAAAAAAGAAAUAUAAUCCUGACUAUAAAUGCUCAGUUGAGCAUUUAGCCAUCUGAUGACUGUGGUAGCCAGCUGGUCUAGAAGUCAUCUGGGAUGCAUUUAUUUUGAUUAGAUUGAUCACAUUUCUAUUUAGAACAUAGAAUUUUUUUGCCGUACUGAAUAUAGCUGUGUUCAUAAAGAUUGUAAGAUGGAGAAAAUGAUCCCCUCCCCCUUAGCUUCUCUCAACACAGUGCAGAAAAUUCAGUGCUCCAAGGUGUUAAACAGAAAGGAUCUGCUUUCAUAUUUCUUAGAAGAAUCCUGCCUACAUCUGCAUUCGCAAAGUGCUGCCUCACUCAGAAAUUGGGUGUAGAGCUAGAGCUGAAAAUACAAGCUGCAAUCAAGGCUGACCAUCAAAGUGACAAGCUUCCUCUGUAAAUUGGUCAGAAAUGUCUUUCUUUCAUGUCUGUACAUGCUCCCACACGCAUAAGCACACACACAUACAUAAGCACAUACAUACACAGCAUGGCCGCUGUUUUCCCUGGGGAUACUGCUGCAGCCACCUAGCUCAUCAGUUCCCUCCCUGACAGCAUCAGGAGUGUUCGAGCUACAAUUCAUAGUGCCUCUAUCCAUACAUUGUUUUCUUAAUCACACCAUCCUCUCCACACUGAGAAUGCACAGAAUCAGACAAACAGCACGCAGCGUUCCUUCUUCCACUGCAUUUGCACGCACUCUCUCGCUCGCUCUUCCUCCCGUGUCUUUGCCUUAGCAGGCAGAUACGACCAAUACCUUGUUUAUCCAUCUCCAGAACAACGCUGAGGUGCAACUCGACUGCAGUUCUGUGGCUUUCCCCAUCUUAAUCCUCUGGAGCAGCAGAGGCUGGAUUCUUGCUGCUGAUGCCCUUGUUGAGCACUGGAUUACUUUUCAUCAUAUUUCUUUAAGCUUUUACCCACUCCACCCUAGAUUAACAUCCCUCCUUUCUCUCCCCACCAAAAAAAAAAAAAAAAAAAGAAAACCCCCAAACAACCCCACAUCACAACCCUUUGCUUCCAGAACCAACAAAAAAAUUGCGGCUCCAUCGCUUCUCUUCCUUAGCAAUGUGCAGACGAGGGAGGCUCGCAUCAGCCAAGCUGGGGUGAAGCGCAGGCAGCGAGGCUGCAGCAGCAGCAGCAGAACCAGCAGCAGCCACCCAGGUAAAUGCGAAAAAGCAGGCUGUGUCGCAGUGCCGUAGCUGUGAGGAAAGAAUCUUGCUUCUUCUGAACAGUGCAGCUUCAUGCCUGCAGGAACGGAGAAGAGGGAAGACCCAGAAUUAAAAAUAGAAGCCAAAAUAGUUAAGAAGAAAUUAUGACUAUAAUAAAGGGCUGUAACUUUAUUUUCUGGGCUUUGGGGUUUUCCUAGGGGGGUGUCUUUCCCCCCCCUCCCCAAAGUCUCCUAUGUUGCUGGAUGUUACUGUCCAAGAGUGGAGUCACAAAGGCUCACCCUCCAAAGCGCAGCAAGACCAGCAUCACAUGAGAAACCACAUGAUGCACCCAAAUCGGAUGCUGAUGCGGUCCACUAUU
RNAcentral lists this long non-coding RNA (37329 nucleotides) under Gallus gallus (chicken). Its description in RNAcentral is "lncRNA (ENSGALG00010008844.1)". Lineage: Eukaryota; Metazoa; Chordata; Aves; Galliformes; Phasianidae. The record is from RNAcentral.